UUAAGCGACUAAGCGUACACGGUGGAUGCCCUGGCAGUCAGAGGCGAUGAAGGACGUGCUAAUCUGCGAUAAGCGUCGGUAAGGUGAUAUGAACCGUUAUAACCGGCGAUUUCCGAAUGGGGAAACCCAGUGUGAUUCGUCACACUAUCAUUAACUGAAUCCAUAGGUUAAUGAGGCGAACCGGGGGAACUGAAACAUCUAAGUACCCCGAGGAAAAGAAAUCAACCGAGAUUCCCCCAGUAGCGGCGAGCGAACGGGGAGCAGCCCAGAGCCUGAAUCAGUGUGUGUGUUAGUGGAAGCGUCUGGAAAGGCGUGCGAUACAGGGUGACAGCCCCGUACACAAAAAUGCACAUACUGUGAGCUCGAUGAGUAGGGCGGGACACGUGGUAUCCUGUCUGAAUAUGGGGGGACCAUCCUCCAAGGCUAAAUACUCCUGACUGACCGAUAGUGAACCAGUACCGUGAGGGAAAGGCGAAAAGAACCCCGGCGAGGGGAGUGAAAAAGAACCUGAAACCGUGUACGUACAAGCAGUGGGAGCACAGAGCAAUCUGUGUGACUGCGUACCUUUUGUAUAAUGGGUCAGCGACUUAUAUUCUGUAGCAAGGUUAACCGAAUAGGGGAGCCGAAGGGAAACCGAGUCUUAACUGGGCGUUAAGUUGCAGGGUAUAGACCCGAAACCCGGUGAUCUAGCCAUGGGCAGGUUGAAGGUUGGGUAACACUAACUGGAGGACCGAACCGACUAAUGUUGAAAAAUUAGCGGAUGACUUGUGGCUGGGGGUGAAAGGCCAAUCAAACCGGGAGAUAGCUGGUUCUCCCCGAAAGCUAUUUAGGUAGCGCCUCGUGAAUUCAUCUCCGGGGGUAGAGCACUGUUUCGGCAAGGGGGUCAUCCCGACUUACCAACCCGAUGCAAACUGCGAAUACCGGAGAAUGUUAUCACGGGAGACACACGGCGGGUGCUAACGUCCGUCGUGAAGAGGGAAACAACCCAGACCGCCAGCUAAGGUCCCAAAGUCAUGGUUAAGUGGGAAACGAUGUGGGAAGGCCCAGACAGCCAGGAUGUUGGCUUAGAAGCAGCCAUCAUUUAAAGAAAGCGUAAUAGCUCACUGGUCGAGUCGGCCUGCGCGGAAGAUGUAACGGGGCUAAACCAUGCACCGAAGCUGCGGCAGCGACGCUGAUGCGUUGUUGGGUAGGGGAGCGUUCUGUAAGCCUGCGAAGGUGUGCUGUGAGGCAUGCUGGAGGUAUCAGAAGUGCGAAUGCUGACAUAAGUAACGAUAAAGCGGGUGAAAAGCCCGCUCGCCGGAAGACCAAGGGUUCCUGUCCAACGUUAAUCGGGGCAGGGUGAGUCGACCCCUAAGGCGAGGCCGAAAGGCGUAGUCGAUGGGAAACAGGUUAAUAUUCCUGUACUUGGUGUUACUGCGAAGGGGGGACGGAGAAGGCUAUGUUGGCCGGGCGACGGUUGUCCCGGUUUAAGCGUGUAGGCUGGUUUUCCAGGCAAAUCCGGAAAAUCAAGGCUGAGGCGUGAUGACGAGGCACUACGGUGCUGAAGCAACAAAUGCCCUGCUUCCAGGAAAAGCCUCUAAGCAUCAGGUAACAUCAAAUCGUACCCCAAACCGACACAGGUGGUCAGGUAGAGAAUACCAAGGCGCUUGAGAGAACUCGGGUGAAGGAACUAGGCAAAAUGGUGCCGUAACUUCGGGAGAAGGCACGCUGAUAUGUAGGUGAAGUCCCUCGCGGAUGGAGCUGAAAUCAGUCGAAGAUACCAGCUGGCUGCAACUGUUUAUUAAAAACACAGCACUGUGCAAACACGAAAGUGGACGUAUACGGUGUGACGCCUGCCCGGUGCCGGAAGGUUAAUUGAUGGGGUCAGCGCAAGCGAAGCUCUUGAUCGAAGCCCCGGUAAACGGCGGCCGUAACUAUAACGGUCCUAAGGUAGCGAAAUUCCUUGUCGGGU
This 1951-nucleotide ribosomal RNA is filed under the name metagenome. RNAcentral's name for it is "bacterial LSU rRNA". It matches the Rfam family "Bacterial large subunit ribosomal RNA", at positions 1 to 1977 of the family's 2925-position model. The record is from RNAcentral.